RNAcentral lists this long non-coding RNA (342 nucleotides) under Homo sapiens (human). Its description in RNAcentral is "hCG1645011-like (LOC100131635)". The record is from RNAcentral. Lineage: Eukaryota; Metazoa; Chordata; Mammalia; Primates; Hominidae.
UGAGUUAGGCUUCAGAGGCAGCGCUGGGUAGGCCUGAGAGGAGCAAGCACAGUGGGAGGCCCAACCUCAGACCACACUCAUCUGGAUUUCCAGAGGUCUCCAGGAGGCAAGGACUAUUUGGUGGCCCUGCUUCACCCAACUGCUCUUCUAGCAUUCUCCACAUCAUGUGCUAUGAGUUGGAUUCGAUCAGAAUUCUCACCACUGGUUCUAAGUCAGAAUCAUCUGGAGAGCAAGAAGCAGAAUGUCUGAAAUCUUCCUAUGGUACAGAACUGCUGGAUGAGACCAUCAGUGGGAAUUUGGCUAUGAAUGACAAAUAAAUAAAAAUAUGCCUACAUCUAAAAA